RNAcentral lists this ribosomal RNA (365 nucleotides) under uncultured eukaryote. RNAcentral's name for it is "partial 18S ribosomal RNA". It matches the Rfam family "Eukaryotic small subunit ribosomal RNA", at positions 592 to 976 of the family's 1831-position model. The record is from RNAcentral.
CAAUAGCGUAUAUUUAAGUUGUUGCAGUUAAAAAGCUCGUAGUCGGAUUUUGGCUGAGAACGAUCGGUCCGCCGUUAGGUGUGCACUGAUUGGUCUCAGCUUCCUGGUGAGGAGGUGUGCUUCACGGCCACUUAGUCACCGUAGUUACUUUGAAAAAAUUAGAGUGUUCAAAGCGGGCUUACGCUUGAAUAUAUUAGCAUGGAAUAACACCAUAGGACUCCUGUCCUAUUUCGUUGGUCUCGGGACGGGAGUAAUGAUUAAGAGGAACAGUUGGGGGCAUUCGUAUUUCAUUGUCAGAGGUGAAAUUCUUGGAUUUAUGAAAGACGAACUUCUGCGAAAGCAUUUGCCAAGGAUGUUUUCAUUAA